UUUUGCUUCCUCUUUGUUUAUACACGUUUUUUUGGUCAAAAGUUCCGCGUUUUUUCGUCGGUUUUUCGGUGUUCCGUGUUUCCGAAAUCCAUAUUUGGGAGCAGAGCAGUGACGAUUGUGGUGGUAUCCGGACAUCACCUGCUUCCAUGAACAAAUCUGUUACCACCGGCUGGCCACAGCAUCGGUACGUUGACCACAUAUGCCAUUAAAGGAGUUGGAGUGAGAAGUGAUGUGACUUCUUGGGACCGGUGAAACUGAGAUGAAACUUGAAAAUUGAACUCGACAUCAAGACUCCCAGUUGGCAUCUGUGGAUCGGCCAACCUUAAUCAAUGAACAAAAUUGUUGCAUUUAAAAACUAUUUAGGGGCGAAGGAAUGUGGCGGCAGCUCCGGAAUAAAAGUGAUCCAGUCGUAAGGCGGUGCGUGGAUGUCGCAGCUUCCGGUGGCGUCUGGAGGCACAGCUACCGAGCAGCCACACAAGGAAUUCUUGACCCGUCAUGCAAACCUUGCUUUGCUUGUUGGUGGCAUUACACCCGGCUGUUAUCGCAUUUAAUCGAGGAUAUAUUGGAUUAUUCCGUUGGAUGUCUAGAAAGACAUCGCAUUGGCCGGAGGAUAUCCGUCAGAUGGAGUGUUCAGCAGGGAUCAUGGACAUGCUCCCAUUGAAGCUGAAAGGGCGUUGAAUUUAGAUGAUCGGACCUAGGAUCGGACGGAAGUAAAGACGAAUGCUGUGGUCAAGAUAAAGUAAGUACUGCAAUUCAAAUGCAAAUAAGACGCUGCCACCCACUACGCCCACCACAAUAGGUCAUAUGAAUAAAGCUGAGAAAAUACUCUACUAAUAAUCUAUGUAAAGCCGUGGAGCAAAACCCUGUGAAUCUUCCUCGGAAUCUUCACAGAGAUAUGAGUAAAGAGUAUUUACUCAUCUAGCUGUCUCACAAUAAAUUCAGCUAAAUUUUUGAGUGCCGUUGGGGCCUACUACAAUUAAGUAGGCAAUUAAUUGAAUCAGUUAAAAGAUAACCUGGAAAUUGCGGUGGGAGAAUAACAAGCGGCAACAUCUUUUAGGAAAAACAAUGGUAAAAGCAAAUGUCUUUUCUAUUUCUGUUAACGGAAGGCUAUGAAACAGAACAUUUUAAAGUCUUGGAAUUUACGUUUAAUAGCACCUCGGGUUAGAUGAAUCUACGACUCGUGCAACCAAAUGAUAUCUUUGGGUAAUAGGCUUCCAGUCUGUCCAUAAACUACGUAGACUCUGUGGAAGUAGAGGAGAUUCUGACCAAAGUCUACGGUCGAUACAAAUUGCAAAAAUUGUGUAUGGAAAAAAGUCUGCGACGGGGAGGACGGGUCUGAGAUGUUCAAGAUUGAGUCUACGUAGUUUAUGGGCUGCGCCUUUCUAGACCACAGGAAAUCUCAUUCGGGGAAAAGUACCACACACGUUUCGUAUUGAAGUGGCCGUAUCAGGAACACCUUUUUAAUCUUGAUUUACGAGUUUUUUAACGCGAAGCUAGCUCAUCUCGAGACUCAAUGCUAAACUUCCUUUACGAAGGAAGAAUCCUCAUUUUACGAGUUAGUCGUUAGUGGGAUUCGAUCCUUAGCCCUUUGUCGUGAUAGGCAUGAGCUCACACCAUUCCAUGAACACUUGGGAAAUGUAUUAUUGUUUUGACGUCAGUCGCGCCCGGAACCGCAAUACUGUAUCGACAGCAGCAUUAAUUUCACGCAGCUUGAAUACUGCAAAUUUACAUUUUAAUCGGUAAUUUACAAUCAAGUUAGUUCACGAGACAGAAAGAUCCCUAACAGCAGUGCAGUUUCUACCGGGCUCACUGAUAGAACAACACUGCCUAAUCGAUUGUUCAUAGGCAGCGCCAGUGCUUGUAGUCGUCAACUUUGCUUGUUACCAGUUUCACUAAGUACCAAACGUAUUGAAUCUGUACGCAAUAAUUAUCAUAAAGUUCUGUUUACCAUACCUUCAUUAAAUUUUCAUUUAUGCACAAGUUUUUGUUUGUUCCGAUUUUCAAAAGCAGGAUUCUUAAUUUGAUUCUAAAUUCUAAUCAAGAUGGUGAGCUACUUCCUAACGAGGUGUAUUAUGAUUCCCGGUAUUCAUUAGUUUGUGUCACGCAAACAUUCGGUUAUUCACACGGAUCUGAAAAUUUCGUUCUAAAAAUAAUUCGAUAAUAUCGAAUAGAAUUCAAUCCAAUUCACAAUUGUGACAAAGUAGGCAUCUCAGAAUCCCGGUAUAUAUUUUAUGCAAUUCAGUAUCAUAAUAUCUAUUUUAUUAUACUCUUUUGAGUUGCAUAAUGGCCUACUUAU
Long non-coding RNA from Aedes albopictus (Asian tiger mosquito), 2296 nucleotides. RefSeq lists it as uncharacterized. The transcript has 3 exons. Lineage: Eukaryota; Metazoa; Arthropoda; Insecta; Diptera; Culicidae. The record is from RefSeq and is a predicted model, not a curated record.